RNAcentral lists this ribosomal RNA (1372 nucleotides) under uncultured bacterium. RNAcentral's name for it is "bacterial SSU rRNA". It matches the Rfam family "Bacterial small subunit ribosomal RNA", at positions 28 to 1381 of the family's 1533-position model. The record is from RNAcentral.
GAUGAACGCUGGCGGCGUGCCUAAUACAUGCAAGUCGAGCGAACGGACGAGAAGCUUGCUUCUCUGAUGUUAGCGGCGGACGGGUGAGUAACACGUGGAUAACCUACCUAUAAGACUGGGAUAACUUCGGGAAACCGGAGCUAAUACCGGAUAAUAUUUUGAACCGCAUGGUUCAAAAGUGAAAGACGGUCUUGCUGUCACUUAUAGAUGGAUCCGCGCUGCAUUAGCUAGUUGGUAAGGUAACGGCUUACCAAGGCAACGGUGCAUAGCCGACCUAAGAGGGUGAUCGGCCACACUGGAACUGAGACACGGUCCAGACUCCUACGGGAGGCAGCAGUAGGGAAUCUUCCGCAAUGGGCGAUAGCCUGACGGAGCAACGCCGCGUGAGUGAUGAAGGUCUUCGGAUCGUAAAACUCUGUUAUUAGGGAAGAACAUAUGUGUAAGUAACUGUGCACAUCUUGACGGUACCUAAUCAGAAAGCCACGGCUAACUACGUGCCAGCAGCCGCGGUAAUACGUAGGUGGCAAGCGUUAUCCGGAAUUAUUGGGCGUAAAGCGCGCGUAGGCGGUUUUUUAAGUCUGAUGUGAAAGCCCACGGCUCAACCGUGGAGGGUCAUUGGAAACUGGAAAACUUGAGUGCAGAAGAGGAAAGUGGAAUUCCAUGUGUAGCGGUGAAAUGCGCAGAGAUAUGGAGGAACACCAGUGGCGAAGGCGACUUUCUGGUCUGUAACUGACGCUGAUGUGCGAAAGCGUGGGGAUCAAACAGGAUUAGAUACCCUGGUAGUCCACGCCGUAAACGAUGAGUGCUAAGUGUUAGGGGGUUUCCGCCCCUUAGUGCUGCAGCUAACGCAUUAAGCACUCCGCCUGGGGAGUACGACCGCAAGGUUGAAACUCAAAGGAAUUGACGGGGACCCGCACAAGCGGUGGAGCAUGUGGUUUAAUUCGAAGCAACGCGAAGAACCUUACCAAAUCUUGACAUCCUUUGACAACUCUAGAGAUAGAGCCUUCCCCUUCGGGGGACAAAGUGACAGGUGGUGCAUGGUUGUCGUCAGCUCGUGUCGUGAGAUGUUGGGUUAAGUCCCGCAACGAGCGCAACCCUUAAGCUUAGUUGCCAUCAUUAAGUUGGGCACUCUAAGUUGACUGCCGGUGACAAACCGGAGGAAGGUGGGGAUGACGUCAAAUCAUCAUGCCCCUUAUGAUUUGGGCUACACACGUGCUACAAUGGACAAUACAAAGGGCAGCGAAACCGCGAGGUCAAGCAAAUCCCAUAAAGUUGUUCUCAGUUCGGAUUGUAGUCUGCAACUCGACUACAUGAAGCUGGAAUCGCUAGUAAUCGUAGAUCAGCAUGCUACGGUGAAUACGUUCCCGGGUCU